RNAcentral lists this ribosomal RNA (481 nucleotides) under uncultured bacterium. Its description in RNAcentral is "partial 16S ribosomal RNA". It matches the Rfam family "Bacterial small subunit ribosomal RNA", at positions 28 to 507 of the family's 1533-position model. The record is from RNAcentral.
GAUGAACGCUGGCGGCGUGCUUAACACAUGCAAGUCGAACGAAGCACUUUAUUUGAUUUCCUUCGGGACUGAUUAUUUUGUGACUGAGUGGCGGACGGGUGAGUAACGCGUGGGUAACCUGCCUUGUACAGGGGGAUAACAGUUGGAAACGGCUGCUAAUACCGCAUAAGCGCCCAGCAUCGCAUGAUGCAUUGUGAAAAACUCCGGUGGUAUAAGAUGGACCCGCGUUGGAUUAGCUAGUUGGUGAGGUAACGGCCCACCAAGGCGACGAUCCAUAGCCGACCUGAGAGGGUGACCGGCCACAUUGGGACUGAGACACGGCCCAAACUCCUACGGGAGGCAGCAGUGGGGAAUAUUGCACAAUGGGCGAAAGCCUGAUGCAGCGACGCCGCGUGAGCGAAGAAGUAUUUCGGUAUGUAAAGCUCUAUCAGCAGGGAAGAUAAUGACGGUACCUGACUAAGAAGCACCGGCUAAAUACGUG